UUGAAUUGAAGAGUUUGAUCAUGGCUCAGAUUGAACGCUGGCGGCAGGCUUAACACAUGCAA
RNAcentral lists this ribosomal RNA (62 nucleotides) under Pasteurella multocida. Its description in RNAcentral is "partial 16S ribosomal RNA". RNAcentral also lists the same sequence under 1 other name. Lineage: Bacteria; Pseudomonadati; Pseudomonadota; Gammaproteobacteria; Pasteurellales; Pasteurellaceae. The record is from RNAcentral.